Molecule: ribosomal RNA, 301 nt
Filed under: uncultured bacterium
Lineage: Bacteria
Description: partial 16S ribosomal RNA
Rfam family: Bacterial small subunit ribosomal RNA
Source: RNAcentral
CAGUAGCCGCGGUAAUACAGAGGGUGCGAGCGUUAAUCGGAUUUACUGGGCGUAAAGCGUGCGUAGGCGGCUUUUUAAGUCGGAUGUGAAAUCCCUGAGCUUAACUUAGGAAUUGCAUUCGAUACUGGGAAGCUAGAGUAUGGGAGAGGAUGGUAGAAUUCCAGGUGUAGCGGUGAAAUGCGUAGAGAUCUGGAGGAAUACCGAUGGCGAAGGCAGCCAUCUGGCCUAAUACUGACGCUGAGGUACGAAAGCAUGGGAAGCAAACAGGAUUAGAUACCCCGGUAGUCCCUGUCUCUUAUAC